AUUGAACGCUGGCGGCAUGCCUAACACAUGCAAGUCGAGCGGAUGAAGGGAGCUUUCUCCUGGAUUCAGCGGCGGACGGGUGAGUAAUGCCUAGGAAUCUGCCUGGUAUUGGGGGAUAACGUCCGGAAACGGGAGCUAAUAUCGCAUACGUCCUGAGGGAGAAAGUGGGGGAUCUUCGGACCUCACGCUAUCUGAUGAGCCUAGGUCGGAUUAGCUAGUUGGUGGGGUAAAGGCCUACCAAGGCGACGAUCCGUAACUGGUCUGAGAGGAUGAUCAGUCACACUGGAACUGAGACACGGUCCAGACUCCUACGGGAGGCAGCAGUAGGGAAUAUUGGGCAAAGGGCGAAAGCCUGAUCCAGCAAUGCCGCGUGUGUGAAGAAGGUCUUCGGAUUGUAAAGCACUUUAAGUUGGGAGGAAGGGCAGUAAGUUAAUACAUUGCCGUUUUGACGGUACCAACAGAGUAAGCACCGGCUAACUUCGUG
This 484-nucleotide ribosomal RNA is filed under the name uncultured bacterium. RNAcentral's name for it is "partial 16S ribosomal RNA". It matches the Rfam family "Bacterial small subunit ribosomal RNA", at positions 30 to 507 of the family's 1533-position model. The record is from RNAcentral.